This 419-nucleotide long non-coding RNA is filed under the name Fukomys damarensis (Damara mole-rat). RNAcentral describes it as "lncRNA (ENSFDAG00000033546.1)". The record is from RNAcentral. Lineage: Eukaryota; Metazoa; Chordata; Mammalia; Rodentia; Bathyergidae.
GAUGAAUGCUUCCAAGAAUAUAAUAAUAUUUAACACAGCAAGAACAACUUCCCAAGCAUGGAAGGGGGCUGGGGGCUGCUGAGCACCGCAGAAAAUGUCAGGAGGAGCUGAAUCACCGUGAGGCACUGACUUCUUCCUUUAUUCUUCAUUUACUGAGGACCCAUGAACAGCUUGGCAGGAGACCAGCAGCUGCUGGAGAAGCACUGGACAGAGCAGAAUGAAGUAACAGUUCCUUCCCUUGGGAGACAGGACAUACACAGAGACAAGAUAAAAAGGGUCUGAACUGCAGAAGAAAUCUGAACGGGGAAGAGUCAGGAGACUAUGGUCGACCUGGGUGAAGAGAUGGGGCCAUUUCCAGGGGAAGAGAUAACAGAUCAUCACUGUCUUCAUGCAACUUAAUUGGCUGGACAGAGCAGACU